GAGGAUGUGGCUCAGUGGUAGAGCACUUGCCUAGCAUGUGUGAGACACUGGGUUCCAUUCUCAGCACCACA
RNAcentral lists this transfer RNA (71 nucleotides) under Marmota monax (woodchuck). RNAcentral describes it as "tRNA.Ala". The stretch from base 1 to 63 matches the Rfam family "tRNA". Rfam says of the family: Transfer RNA (tRNA) molecules are approximately 80 nucleotides in length. Their secondary structure includes four short double-helical elements and three loops (D, anti-codon, and T loops). Lineage: Eukaryota; Metazoa; Chordata; Mammalia; Rodentia; Sciuridae. The record is from RNAcentral.